UACAGAGACUGCAAGCGUUAUUCGGAUUCACUGGGCGUAAAGGGUGCGCAGGCGGCCAAGUGUGUGAGGCGUGAAAGCCCGGGGCUUAACCUGGGAACUGCGUUUGAUACGGCAGGGCUAGAGUUCGGGAGAGGAGAGUGGAAUUCCCAGUGUAGAGGUGAAAUCGUAGAUAUUGGAAGAACACCGGUGGCGAAGGCGACUUCCUGGCCUGUUCUUGACGCUGAGGCGCGAAAGCUAGGGGAGCAAACGGGG
RNAcentral lists this ribosomal RNA (252 nucleotides) under uncultured bacterium. RNAcentral's name for it is "partial 16S ribosomal RNA". It matches the Rfam family "Bacterial small subunit ribosomal RNA", at positions 524 to 777 of the family's 1533-position model. The record is from RNAcentral.